RNAcentral lists this ribosomal RNA (866 nucleotides) under Streptomyces griseomycini. RNAcentral describes it as "bacterial SSU rRNA". It matches the Rfam family "Bacterial small subunit ribosomal RNA", at positions 73 to 949 of the family's 1533-position model. Lineage: Bacteria; Bacillati; Actinomycetota; Actinomycetes; Kitasatosporales; Streptomycetaceae. The record is from RNAcentral.
ACCUCCUUCGGGAGGGGAUUAGUGGCGAACGGGUGAGUAACACGUGGGCAAUCUGCCCUGCACUCUGGGACAAGCCCUGGAAACGGGGUCUAAUACCGGAUACGACAUCCUCGGGCAUCCGAUGGAUGUGGAAAGCUCCGGCGGUGCAGGAUGAGCCCGCGGCCUAUCAGCUUGUUGGUGAGGUAACGGCUCACCAAGGCGACGACGGGUAGCCGGCCUGAGAGGGCGACCGGCCACACUGGGACUGAGACACGGCCCAGACUCCUACGGGAGGCAGCAGUGGGGAAUAUUGCACAAUGGGCGCAAGCCUGAUGCAGCGACGCCGCGUGAGGGAUGACGGCCUUCGGGUUGUAAACCUCUUUCAGCAGGGAAGAAGCGCAAGUGACGGUACCUGCAGAAGAAGCGCCGGCUAACUACGUGCCAGCAGCCGCGGUAAUACGUAGGGCGCGAGCGUUGUCCGGAAUUAUUGGGCGUAAAGAGCUCGUAGGCGGCUUGUCGCGUCGGUUGUGAAAGCCCGGGGCUUAACCCCGGGUCUGCAGUCGAUACGGGCAGGCUAGAGUUCGGUAGGGGAGAUCGGAAUUCCUGGUGUAGCGGUGAAAUGCGCAGAUAUCAGGAGGAACACCGGUGGCGAAGGCGGAUCUCUGGGCCGAUACUGACGCUGAGGAGCGAAAGCGUGGGGAGCGAACAGGAUUAGAUACCCUGGUAGUCCACGCCGUAAACGGUGGGCACUAGGUGUGGGCAACAUUCCACGUUGUCCGUGCCGCAGCUAACGCAUUAAGUGCCCCCGCCUGGGGAGUACGGCCGCAAGGCUAAAACUCAAAGGAAUUGACGGGGGGCCCGCACAAGCGGCGGAGCAUGUGGCUUAA